GCUCGGGUAGCUCAGUGGAUAGAGCAGUAGUUUCCUAAACUAUUGGUCGCAGGUUCAACUCCUGUCCCGAGUACCA
Molecule: transfer RNA, 76 nt
Filed under: Lentisphaerae bacterium GWF2_38_69
Lineage: Bacteria; Pseudomonadati; Lentisphaerota
Also listed under: 1 other name
Description: tRNA-Arg
Rfam family: tRNA
About the family: Transfer RNA (tRNA) molecules are approximately 80 nucleotides in length. Their secondary structure includes four short double-helical elements and three loops (D, anti-codon, and T loops).
Source: RNAcentral